Molecule: long non-coding RNA, 1413 nt
Filed under: Manihot esculenta (cassava)
Lineage: Eukaryota; Viridiplantae; Streptophyta; Magnoliopsida; Malpighiales; Euphorbiaceae
Description: long non-coding RNA (MESC_LNC007529)
Source: RNAcentral
AUAAUUGAGACUAAAUGAGAAAAUUUUAAUUUUAUUAUUCAAAAUUUAAAAUUUUAAACUUAAAUAUAAAAAUUUUUAAAUUUUUAAAUUUUUUUCUAAUAUAUUUUUUUAAGGUAUAUAAAAAUUCAUUAUAAAGUAGUUGGGCUUUAUCCUAAUAUAAAAAAAAUAAAGAAGACAAUAGGCCCAAAACAGCACAACUUUAGGCCUAAACCCAUCACUCAAACCUCAACUCAAGAAGUCUUUAAGAAUCUCUGUCAAACUCUCACUAUCGUCUUUUCCACUGUCAAUCUGAGAGCAACACUGAAGGGAACCUAUGCCUUCCUUCAAGAUUUAUGAGGUUCAGCCAAGGAGGACUGAGAUUGGAGCAUCCAAAAAAGAGAAACAAAAAGAUCCACAGCCGAUGGAGGUUAGUGCCAAAGCUCCUUCACCAAAUUUGGUAUUUAAGGUCACCAAAAAAGCAUGCAAGCAGGCGUGAUAUUGAUCCAACUGUUAGAAUCAGACCCUCGUGGCAUUCACAAUACCAUUAAUAGCUUUGCAAGUCCUAAAAGAAAUUCCCUAUAUAAAACUCCAUUAACCUGUCAAUAUGCAAACCAAACAAGCUAUUUAGACCAGUAUAGGAAGGAAAACCUACCUUCUAUGGGGUUAGAGGGAAGUCAUCCCCUGCCCCUUCAGCCACAAAGACUCGGCAAAAAAAAGAUUUGGUAGCCUAAAACAGAGAAAAAUCUCUCUACAAACUUUAGAGGAGAUUUUAUAUUUUGCCGUUUUAGUUAUACAUAUCAAAAAUAAAUUAUUUAUUAAUCUAUAAUUCUAUAAUAAUUUUAAUUAAUUUUAAAUUAUUUAAAUUCAUUUAAUUUAAUAUAUUUUAAUUAAUAAUCUAUAUAAAAUAUUUAUUUUUCUCCAACGUAAUUAUAUAUUACUCAACCUCAAUAAAAUUCAAUUGGAUCCAAUACCUACAAAAAUAGCACAACCGUUGCCGUUGUACUGAGACUUGCAUGCAUGAAAAAUACUGAUGAAUAAACCUUCCAACCAACACCUGCAAAUCUGUGUCAGAGUGUCCUGUUUCAGCCACACAACCAUUGAUCCCCAUCCCCAGCAGCACAGAAACCAGCUGGUCCACACCCGCCAGAUGAGUAUGGCCGUUCAAAAAGUACAAAACACCACUGGCCAUUGGCCACUGUGCACAAGUCUGAAGGCUAAUUGCUUUUGCUGGCCUUCCCUAUCUUCAUCAUUAGCUGCUCCUUUUUUAUCACUUCCCACCUCCCUCUUUUGACCCCUCUAAUUGGUAAGAUGCUUUCGAAGAUUCUCAAUUGGCUUUUUUUCAUGUUUUUAUCCACUUUGUUUGGUGGCCAUUGGCUUCCCAUUUCUUUCUUUGAUCUUUAUGUGCAGAGGAGCAAUCAAUGGAUGGCCUCUUUU